CCUACNGGCCGCACCAGUGGGGAAUAUUGGACGAUGGCGAAAGCCUGAUCCAGCAAUGCCGCGUGUGCGAAGAAGGUCUUCGGAUUGUAAAGCACUUUCGACGGGGACNAUGAUGACGGUANCCGUAGAAGAAGCCCCGGCUAACUUCGUGCCAGCAGCCGCGGUAAUACGAAGGGGGCUAGCGUUGCUCGGAAUGACUGGGCGUAAAGGGCGCGUAGGCGGUUUAUGCAGUCAGAUGUGAAAUCCCCGGGCUUAACCUGGGAACUGCAUUUGAGACGCAUAGACUAGAGGUCGAGAGAGGGUUGUGGAAUUCCCAGUGUAGAGGUGAAAUUCGUAGAUAUUGGGAAGAACACCGGUGGCGAAGGCGGCAACCUGGCUCGAUACUGACGCUGAGGCGCGAAAGCGUGGGGGGCAAACAGGAUUAGAUACCCUCGUAGUC
Molecule: ribosomal RNA, 439 nt
Filed under: uncultured bacterium
Lineage: Bacteria
Description: bacterial SSU rRNA
Rfam family: Bacterial small subunit ribosomal RNA
Source: RNAcentral